UCUGUUUUUUUGGCCAGCACACGUUUCACAUGCACUUCAAGUGCACACAACAGGAGCUGCAGUGGCAACAACAACACACUCGCACACAUUGAGCAAACUUUACGCGCAAAACGCGAAAAUCACAGCCCGAAAGUGAAGCGCAACAAGAGAAAAUGGCUAAAUCCCAGCCAAGUCGACACCCGAAUGCUCUGAAAGCAAAAUUCCCAUAUAAGCAAAAAUUUAGGAGGGAAUGCAUUUGUGUGAAAUUGAAAAUUGCAAACUACUCUUUACAUUAAAACCAGAAUCGAAGCCGUGUUGUGAAAUGGUUCACUUCUCAUUGAAUUUCAAUCGAAAGCCUUACUUUAUGUUAAAUAACUAGAGCUAUUUAAACUUUUGAAAUAUUUUUUAACAUCGAUAAAAUUACAUAUUAGGCCUUAAGAAUUGAUUAGGUGAAGCAUUUCUGUUAGUUUUACAACACUGUUUGCCAUAAUCCUAAAUCCUAUUUUUAAGUGUUGUAAAAUUGUAGUAGAUCAGUCAAGGCAAAAAAUUGUUAUAUAUUUGAAAAUAUUUUGGACCAGCUAUACUAUUGACUUGAGGCAUAAGCAACUAUUCAGUAUGGUGCACCAGAUAUAACGAGUUUCUGUGCAAUUUGACUUGUUGGAAAACUUAACUCGUUAAUAAUCCUCAGCUACACUCGUGUAGAGCAUUAUAAGCUCUGACCAUUCCGAUUGCCUGUUACUGUGAAGCUCAUGCGAAUCUCUGCCAGUUUAUACAAGAGGAGGCUGCGCUUUGCCGCGCCGCGCCGUGCAACUCGCAAUUCGCAACUUGCAACUCACAACUCAUGUGUAAAAGGGGACAAUGCAGGUUUUAGCUUUAAUAAAGCGACUAUGCGAGCCGUUGCCAGACCCACAGGCAGACGCACAUACACACGCGCGCACACCCACACAAUAGCAUCCUGGACAUGAUGGCGAGUCGCAGAGUCCAACAGCGACCACUUUUUGGGUCCGGACUACACAUGCUUCGGCUCUGGUGCGCCGUUUGCCUGUUUUGGUUUGGUUUGGUUGUGUACUUGAUUUUUGGGCAAAGCGGCAAAUAACAUUUUUGUUUGGCUUUGACGUUGUUGCAAUUGCAACGGUUAUUCCAUUUGCUUGACAAAUAUACGAUGACGAGAACGAUGGCUAUGGCUAUGGCAAUGGAGGUGGAAAUGGAAGUGGAAGUGGCAUGGCACGGAACGUUUAGUCCCUGGCCGAACCUGUACCAGCUUCAGAGUUUGUGCGGGAGUUCAAACUUUUAGCGGGAAUUAUGCGCAUUUUUGUUUGGUUGGCAGCGGCGCAAGUGGCGACUGACGAGUGAGAGAAACGCUUAAAUCCAACUGCAAUGGCUGGGUUAAUGGCCAUGUGAGUGUUUCUGUCUACGUGUGCGUGUGUGUGUGUGUGUUUGUGUGUGGGAUGUGGCACUGCCAAAGGCUUUCAAGCAGCAUGCAAUAUACAUUCUGUUGCAUACUUUUUUGGGCUCUCAAACUUCAAAGCAAUCGACAGAAAAGCCACUCACAAAGUGCUCAAAAUAAACUCCCAAAGCCAUAUUAAUAGCAUAAGAUGGUAGUCAAAAAAAAAAUUCGUUGCGUUUAAAAACUUAGAAAAGACAAACUAAAGCUAAAGAUAAAUGCAGAAAUAUAAUGUAAAAAAGCUGCUUUAAAUUGGGAAUAUUUUAAAUAGCUAUCAAAUUCGUUAGUUAAACCUCAACUGAAAUUUGAAAUAAUAAGCACACCCGUCAGCUUGUUAAAA
This is a non-coding RNA of Drosophila virilis, 1763 nucleotides long. Lineage: Eukaryota; Metazoa; Arthropoda; Insecta; Diptera; Drosophilidae. The record is from RefSeq and is a predicted model, not a curated record.